AUACGGAGGAUGCGAGCGUUAUCCGGAUUUAUUGGGUUUAAAGGGAGCGUAGGCGGCCAUUUAAGUCAGCGGUUAAAUCGUGGGGCUCAACCCCAUUCUGCCGUUGAUACUGGGUGGCUUGAUUGCGGUCGAGGUUGGCGGAAUUCGUUGUGUAGCGGUGAAAUGCAUAGAUAUGACGAAGAACACCGAUUGCGUAGGCAGCUGACCAGACCGCAAAUGACGCUCAUGCACGAAAGUGCGGGGAUCGAACAGGAUUAGAUACCCUGGUAGUCCGCACAGUAAACGAUGAAUACUUGUUUUCGGCGAUAUAAUGUCGGAGGCAAAGCGAAAGCGAUAAGUAUUCCACCUGGGGAGUACGCCGGCAACGGUGAAACUCAAAGGAAUUGACGGGG
RNAcentral lists this ribosomal RNA (392 nucleotides) under uncultured bacterium. RNAcentral describes it as "partial 16S ribosomal RNA". It matches the Rfam family "Bacterial small subunit ribosomal RNA", at positions 523 to 918 of the family's 1533-position model. The record is from RNAcentral.